Molecule: long non-coding RNA, 596 nt
Organism: Salvelinus namaycush (lake trout)
Lineage: Eukaryota; Metazoa; Chordata; Actinopteri; Salmoniformes; Salmonidae
Exons: 2
Source: RefSeq, a predicted model, not a curated record
AUCUCUGUGUCAGGGUGAUCGAGCAGCUUGGAGGUAAACAGCUGGUGAUGAACCACAUGCACCAUGAAGAUCAGCUGGUCCGCUACAACGCCCUGCUGGCCGUGCAGAAACUCAUGGUCCACAACUGGGAGUACCUGGGGAAGCAGCUCCAGUCGUCUGACCAGCAGCAGCAACAGGCUGUGGCCACCAGGAGCUGAUCUCUGACCCCUGACCCCUGACCCCUGCAUGGAACCCACUCUGUGUCUGGGUUUGCAUACAUGUACUGGGGUAUACAUGCAUACCAGUAUAUGUACUGUAUGUGUGGCUGUGUGUGUGUAUCUAUGUACAUCGUCCAAUGAAAACUGGACAGUUGAUCCAGGUAAUUAUGUCAGGAGUUGAUGUGUAAAAGGUGUUUCUUACCUGUCUAUUCUCCUCCACUCUGGCUGUAUGUUGAUUUCCUGGUCGUGCUACAGUAUAUUAUGUCAUGUGUCCUCACAGCUAUGUGAUGUAAGGUGAUUUAAAUAGCACUUGGUGUUGUGAUCAAUAUAAAAUGGCUCAAGUUAUUUGUGUCGUGUGUAAAACAUUGUGAGUAUCCAAUAAAACUAAUCUAGAUGGUC